Molecule: long non-coding RNA, 1135 nt
Filed under: Suricata suricatta (meerkat)
Lineage: Eukaryota; Metazoa; Chordata; Mammalia; Carnivora; Herpestidae
Description: lncRNA (ENSSSUG00005002339.1)
Source: RNAcentral
ACAAAUCAAACAAAGAAACACAUUACAGGGGGGAAUGAAAAGAAUGGGAAUGGGAGGGAAAGAGACGAAAGGAAGAGAAGAAGAGAAAAUAAAAAGAAAAGAGAAAGAAGAAAAGACAAAAAAAUAUAUAUAAAAGGGGAUCGGAGACAACAAAGGACAGUAGACCGCUUAAAAGUGUAUGACCAGUUUAGGGGAGAAGUCAGGAUGAGAUACAGGAGAAUAUAUCUGGGUUGCGAGAAGGUGAAAAAGUAAGGAUGAGAUACAGGAGAAUAUAUCUGGGUUGCAAGAAGGUGAAAAAGUAAGGGAGAAAGGAGAAAGGAAAAUAAGGAGUAAAAAUUUAAAAGAGUUAAGUAAAGAAAAAGAAAAAAAAGGUAAUAAUAACAAAUACGUAUGAAAAAAAGUGGAGAAAGAAAAAAAAAAGCAACAGCUCCCCCUUGUGGAUAGGCUUGGUUUGAUGUGGUAGGUCUCGGAGGCUGCUCUCAGAGGCUCCAUCUUGGUGUCUAUGAAGAUUAGAAUGGCGGCUUGCCAAGCUCUGCUGAACUAGGCACUGUAGUCCACUCUAAUGAGUCCGAUCUCCUUGGGCCACAGUUGAGCCGAGUUGUAUUUUCCAGACCUGCCUCGGUUCAAAGUUCCAGUCCAUGCACGUUUGCGCUACCACAGAUGAAAUAUAUUUGUUUUGGUGGCUGGCUUCUUAGGGGGAGGAAUAAGUUUGUCUUGGCCCAGGCAAGGAUUGCAGGUACCCCUGCCUGAGGCGAAAUGAGCAGCAGUAGGUGAGGUGCGCACCUUCACAGACGCAGAUGAGGAGUCCUCACCCCCAGCCAGGAUUGCCAUUGCAAUGGGGGAAGGAGAAAAAAAAAAAAUUGAGUCUCUCUUGGCUUCGGGUAGCUGUUGCUCAAGGCGCUGUGCACUGCUGGAAAUGAGCUGGGAGCUCCUGCAGCCUAGGCGCAUGCCCAGGCCUCCACCUGCCACUGACUCUCUGUCGGGGUUCGUGAAGGUGUGGGCCCUAUUUUUUCCUGUGGGCACCCUGGAUUCGGGAUUCGCACAGCCAAUGCAGGGGGCGAGAUGCACCGUGGAAAUGAGCAAAUGGAGAAAUUCGAAAAUUGCUACCAGGGCAGCGAGCUGCUUGGGUUCGUAA